This 472-nucleotide ribosomal RNA is filed under the name uncultured Pelotomaculum sp. RNAcentral describes it as "bacterial SSU rRNA". It matches the Rfam family "Bacterial small subunit ribosomal RNA", at positions 910 to 1382 of the family's 1533-position model. The record is from RNAcentral. Lineage: Bacteria; Bacillati; Bacillota; Clostridia; Eubacteriales; Desulfotomaculaceae.
UUGACGGGGGCCCGCACAAGCGGUGAGCAUGUGGUUAAUUCGAUGCAACGCGAAGAACCUUACCAGGGCUUGACAUCCCCUGACCGCGUAUGAAAGUACGUUUUCACCUCGGGUGACAGGGAGACAGGUGGUGCAUGGUUGUCGUCAGCUCGUGUCGUGAGAUGUUGGGUUAAGUCCCGCAACGAGCGCAACCCCUACGUUUAGUUGCUAACGCGUGAAGGCGAGCACUCUAGACGAACUGCCGUUGACAAAACGGAGGAAGGUGGGGAUGACGUCAAAUCAUCAUGCCCCUUAUGUUCUGGGCUACACACGUGCUACAAUGGCCGGUACAGACGGACGCAAAGCCGCGAGGUGGAGCAAAUCCUAAAAAGCCGGUCUCAGUUCGGAUUGCAGGCUGCAAUUCGCCUGCAUGAAGUCGGAAUCGCUAGUAAUCGCAGGUCAGCAUACUGCGGUGAAUACGUUCCCGGGCCUU